CCCUCAGAUGUUCUGGGCUGCACGCGUGCUACACUGAAGCGUCAUAGGAAGUGUACCUGUCUCUAACGGGAGGGGUAAUCUCGAGAACGCUUCGUGAUGGGGAUAGAUUAUUGCAAUUAUUAAUCUUCAACGAGGAAUGCCUAGUAAGCGCAAGUCAUCAGCUUGCGUUGAUUACGUCCCUGCCCUUUGUACACACCGCCCGUCGCUCCUACCGAUUGAAUGGUCCGGUGAAGCGUUCGGACCGUGGCCUUUGGACGGUUCGCCGUCUGUUGGCUGCGGGAAGUUCGUUAAACCUUAUCAUUUAGAGGAAGGAGAAGUCGUAACA
RNAcentral lists this ribosomal RNA (325 nucleotides) under uncultured eukaryote. Its description in RNAcentral is "partial 18S ribosomal RNA". It matches the Rfam family "Eukaryotic small subunit ribosomal RNA", at positions 1470 to 1796 of the family's 1831-position model. The record is from RNAcentral.